UACGUAGGGGGCUAGCGUUGUCCGGAUUUAUUGGGCGUAAAGCGCGUGUAGGCGGCCAGAUAGGUCUGCUGUGAAAACUCGAGGCUCAACCUCGAGCUGUCGGCGGAAACCAUCCGGCUAGAGUCCGGAAGAGGAGAGUGGAAUUCCCGGUGUAGCGGUGAAAUGCGCAGAUAUCCGGAGGAACACCGAAGGCGAAGGCAGUGUCCUGGCGAGUGACUGACGCUGAGGUGCGAAAGCCAGGGGAGCGAACGGG
This 253-nucleotide ribosomal RNA is filed under the name uncultured bacterium. Its description in RNAcentral is "partial 16S ribosomal RNA". It matches the Rfam family "Bacterial small subunit ribosomal RNA", at positions 524 to 776 of the family's 1533-position model. The record is from RNAcentral.